Molecule: ribosomal RNA, 267 nt
Filed under: uncultured anaerobic ammonium-oxidizing bacterium
Lineage: Bacteria
Description: partial 16S ribosomal RNA
Rfam family: Bacterial small subunit ribosomal RNA
Source: RNAcentral
GAGCACGUAGGUGGGUUUGUAAGUCAGAUGUGAAAGCCUUCUGUUCAACGGAAGAAUUGCAACUGAAACUACAAACCUUGAGUAUAGGAGGGGAGAAUGGAACUUCUGGUGGAGCGGUGAAAUGCGUAGAUAUCAGAAGGAACGCCGGCGGCGAAAGCGAUUCUCUGGCCUAUUACUGACACUGAGUGUGCGAAAGUUAGGGGAGCAAACGGGAUUAGAUACCCCGGUAGUCCUAACUGUAAACGAUGGGCACUAAGUAGAGGGGUU